GCCCAGGUGGUGGAAUUGGUAGACACGCCAGCUUGAGGGGCUGGUGGCUAAUUUUUGGCCGUGGAGGUUCAAGUCCUCUCCUGGGCACCA
Molecule: transfer RNA, 90 nt
Filed under: Candidatus Peregrinibacteria bacterium
Lineage: Bacteria; Candidatus Peregrinibacteriota
Description: tRNA-Leu
Rfam family: tRNA
About the family: Transfer RNA (tRNA) molecules are approximately 80 nucleotides in length. Their secondary structure includes four short double-helical elements and three loops (D, anti-codon, and T loops).
Source: RNAcentral